RNAcentral lists this unclassified non-coding RNA (1318 nucleotides) under uncultured Neocallimastigales. RNAcentral describes it as "partial contains small subunit ribosomal RNA, internal transcribed spacer 1, 5.8S ribosomal RNA, internal transcribed spacer 2, and large subunit ribosomal RNA". The stretch from base 581 to 1318 matches the Rfam family "Eukaryotic large subunit ribosomal RNA", at positions 1 to 629 of the family's 3401-position model. Lineage: Eukaryota; Fungi; Neocallimastigomycota; Neocallimastigomycetes; Neocallimastigales. The record is from RNAcentral.
AGUCGUAACAAGGUUUCCGUAGGUGAACCUGCGGAAGGAUCAUUAAAAAUGUGGUACCAAUUAUUGGUACUAAUUAAUCAUCUACCUUGUGAAUUGUUUGUAUGAAUUUUUUAAAUGGUCUUUCCUAAGUUGAUUGUAGUAAAUACAAAAGAUAGGGAAUGAUUUUUUAAAAGACUUUUUUUAAUAAACUUUUGUAUUCAUUGUCUAAAAUUAUUUUAUAAUAUAAAACAACUUUUGACAUGGAUCUCUUGGUUCUCGCAACGAUGAAGAACGCAGCAAAAUGCGAUAAGUAGUGUGAAUUGCAGAAUACGUGAAUCAUCGAAUCUUCGAACGCAUAUUGCACUUUUUUAGUUACUAAAAAGUAUGUCGUUGAGUAUCAGUAAAUAUUCUCACAACAUAUUUGUUGUGUAUGAUGUUUUACAACGAUAAACAGUUUUCACUUUAAAUUCUUUUAAUUGAAUUUUACCAAUUCAUAAAUUAAAUUGGAUAAAAUUUUCUUUAACGAGGAAUACCUAAACAAUUUUAAAUUUUAUGGAUUAAUAAACAUUCAUCAAAGGAAUCUAAUUAUACAUAAAUAACUUGAUCUCAAAUCAGAUAAGAGUACCGCUGAACUUAAGCAUAUCAAUAAGCGGAGGAAAAGAAACUAACAAGGAUCCUUAGUAACGGCGAGUGAGCGGAAGAGCUCAAAUUUGAAAUCUUCAGGUUGACCUUGACGAAUGUAGUUUAUAGAAGUGUUUCUGUUGGAGUUUUGGUGAAAGUUCUUGGAAUAGGACAUCAUAGAGGUGAGAAUCCGUAUUUGACCAUGACUUUCCAGCUGUGUGAUACACUUUCAAAGAGUCGGAUUGUUGGGAAUGCAGUCCAAAUGGUGGUAAAUUUCAUCUAAAGCUAAUAUUGGCGAGAGACGAUAGCGAACAAGUACCGUGAGGAAGAUGAAAGAACUUUGAAAGAGAGUUAACAGUACGUGAAAUUGUCAAAAGGGAAGCGUUGACACAGUGUUGUUUCUCGAAAUCAAUUUAAUGGUCUUGUUUUAAGUUAUUGUGACUUUAUCAGCGCAUUUCUAUUUACUUGACUCAUUGAUGCACUUUUCGUUUAACAGUCAACAUCAAUUUCUUUGUGGUAAAAGUUUAAAGGAAGUGGCUUGGACUUCGUUCAAGUGUUAUAGCCUUUUUCUAUGCCAUCGGAGAGAUUGAGGUCUGCAGCGUAGAUCCUUCGGGUUAGAUACUUUGUGCUAAGUUAUAGUUUUUAUAGACAACUUGUUGACUAUAAUUAACCCUGUAAUUUACUCGCUUAGGCUAUUUUACCUACGCUUAGGAUGUGA